This is a non-coding RNA of Podarcis lilfordi (Lilford's wall lizard), 75 nucleotides long. Lineage: Eukaryota; Metazoa; Chordata; Lepidosauria; Squamata; Lacertidae. The record is from the annotation of a GenBank genome assembly.
GACUGGGAUAGCUCAGUCGGCAGAGCAUGAGACUCUGAAUCUCGGGGUUUGUGAGUUCGAGCCCCACAUCGGGCA